This 1504-nucleotide long non-coding RNA is filed under the name Vigna radiata. RNAcentral's name for it is "long non-coding RNA (VRAD_LNC000782)". The record is from RNAcentral. Lineage: Eukaryota; Viridiplantae; Streptophyta; Magnoliopsida; Fabales; Fabaceae.
UUAUACUUAUUCUUUGGUUGAGCCAUUUUGUUUAAGGGUUGCAGAUAGUAAAAUAAGAGCAUGAAUAGUGUUGGAGGAAGAAAGAAAAAGAACAAGAAGAAAGCAGAAGAUGGAGAAAAAGUGAACCAGAAAGAGGAAGAAGAGGCCUUAAGAAAGGAUGCUGAAGAGCUCAAGGCAUGGGUAUGUACAUAUAACAAUUUUGCCCUAAAUUCUUCAAAGAAAUUUGCCCUAAAUUAUAAAAAUAGGCCUUUUUUUUUUCUUCACCAUAUAAAUUCUCAAAAAUAGCUGUGUCUACAUUUUUUAUAGUUGUUUUUCUCUAUAAUAAUUUUUUUAUUAUUUCAUAGAUUGAUUUGAUAGAGAUCAUGGACGAGCAGCAACUAAUGGAAUAUCUAGAAAAUCAUCCUGGAGAGAUUAAAGUGCCAAAGGUUCAAAAGCCCAAAAAGAAGGUAAUUAACAUUUGUUUUAUUUUUUUUUAAACCAUUGGGAGCAAGUUUUGAUUUCUUUUUUUUUUUUUUUAGUUUUUGCUUUACAUAAUAUAAACUGAAAUACAAUGAAAAAGUCAAUAUUUUCAUUCUGAUCACUUUUCUUUUACUUAUAUUUUUAUUUAUUUAUAAGAUUUGAAUGGGAAAUACUUUUUUUUUUUCAUUUAAUGAUGUAUCUUAUUUUAUGAUAAAUAUUUAUUAUUUUUUACAGUAAUUAUCUUAUAAAUUGUAAGAAGAUAUAUUUUAUUAGUUGGCAUUUUAAAUGGGUAGUUAAUAACAAUUAAAAUAAUUUCAAAAUAAAAUUAAUUCUGAAACUAUUUAUGAAUUUCAUUAUUUUCUUUCAUUGUGGGGCACUUGCUCCCAAUUUCAUUGAACAAUUCACAGCUAGCCAAAGACAAAAACAAGUUUGAAAAUAAUAAAUGAAAGUAAUUAAAGUAGUUAAUUUUCUUUAGAAUGAUCCAAACGGUUGAAAACAAUUGUAACAUUUAAAAAAAAAAUGUUUCUUGUUUUUUUAUAAGUAAAAAACAACACAUCAGAUAAUUUACAUUAAUUUACACAUCUCCUUAAUCAAAUUCUUAAUUGUUUGUUGAUAUUUGAACUAUUCAAUUUGAUAAAAAAAAAGUGUUCCAUAAUAAUAAUAAUAAUAAAAGUAAUAAUAAAUAAAUAAAUAAAAUUUAAAGUUUUUAUUUUGGUACUAUGUUACAGGUCCAAAGCACUGGGAAGCCAAAGUCUUCCACUGGGAUUCUGGCUUCAGUUUUGAGGUUUCACAAAAACUAGUAACAAAAUAAUUUCUGAUUAGUUUCUUAGUUCAUCAGAAUGUCACAAAAGUAUCUGUUUCUUUUUCAAUCUACAAUUUCUAUAAACUCUCUUAAUUUAUCUAAUCUAUUUCGAAUAAAAAUAUAAAUACAGUUUCAAUUUCAAAAAUUCUGAAAAUUUUAAUUUGUUUCAUUAAUAAUUUUAAAUAUGUAUAUUAAUUAAGAACCUUCCUUUUUGUGUGAACUAGCUCGUUUUUUCUGUGCGGG